Molecule: ribosomal RNA, 363 nt
Filed under: Triticum aestivum (bread wheat)
Lineage: Eukaryota; Viridiplantae; Streptophyta; Magnoliopsida; Poales; Poaceae
Description: partial small subunit ribosomal RNA
Source: RNAcentral
GCUAAGUUGGGGACUAAACUGCUUUUUAGUACUACUUGUCACCCCCAAACUGAUGGACAAACUGAAGUAGUCAAUAGAACGUUGUCUACUAUGCUUAGGGCUGUUUUGAAGAAUAAUAAGAAAAUGUGGGAGGAAUGCUUGCCUCAUAUUAAAUUUGCUUAUAAUCGUUCAUUGCAUUCUACUACUAAGAUGUGCCCUUUUGAAGUUGUGUAUGGUUUCCUACCUCGUGCACCUAUUGAUUUGUUGCCUCUUCCAUCUUCGGAGAAGGUUAAUUUUGAUGCUAAACAACGUGCUGAAUUGAUUUUAAAAAUGCAUGAGUUAACUAAGGAAAACAUUGAGCGUAUGAAUGCUAAAUAUAAACUU